AUUGAACGCUGGCGGCAUGCUUUACACAUGCAAGCCGAACGGUAACAGGUUAAGCUGACGAGUGGCGAACGGGUGAGUAAUGCAUCGGAACGUGCCCGGUCGUGGGGGAUAACGCAGCGAAAGCUGCGCUAAUACCGCAUACGAUCUAAGGAUGAAAGCGGGGGACCGUAAGGCCUCGCGCGAUCGGAGCGGCCGAUGUCAGAUUAGGUAGUUGGUGGGGUAAAGGCUCACCAAGCCAACGAUCUGUAGCGGGUCUGAGAGGACGACCAGCGACACUGGGACUGGGACACGGCCCAGACUCCUCCGGGAGGCAGCAGUGGGGAAUUUUGGACAAUGGGCGAAAGCCUGAUCCAGCAAUGCCGCGUGCAGGAAGAAGGCCUUCGGGUUGUAAACUGCUUUUGUACGGAGCGAAAAGGUCUCCUCUAAUACAGGGGGCUCAUGACGGUACCGUAAGAAUAAGCACCGGCUAACUACGUGCCAGCAGCCGCGGUAA
This 493-nucleotide ribosomal RNA is filed under the name uncultured bacterium. Its description in RNAcentral is "partial 16S ribosomal RNA". It matches the Rfam family "Bacterial small subunit ribosomal RNA", at positions 29 to 523 of the family's 1533-position model. The record is from RNAcentral.